UCUCACUCUAUAAAACAAGGUUUCCCAGUCUUCGUAUCGCGUCGAUGAAUUUCUACAGCAACUGCUCCUUAGGGGUUUCUUUUUUACUCCUUUUAUGAUUAUGAAUAAGAGAAGGCUUCACUAUCUGGUCAGCGUGGAUUAUCAAUUCCCGUAUGACUCGUUCCCUUGAAGCAAAAGUGCUUGUGUUGCUUCUUUAAAUAUAUCUCCCUCAGCCCUUCAUUUUGUUGCUUUGGGAGGACGCCUGGGGCAACUACAUUCCAUUUUUCAUUUUCUUCAUUUUUUCUUCAAAACAUUGGAGUUCAUAGCAUUAAAGGAACAGUGAUGAGUCAAUACAGACCUGUAAUGACUUGCGGCAAUGAUCGCAACUCUUUAUGAACAUCUAAGGGACUGAGUUCUUCUUAAUGCUUUUAUUUUGCUUUUUUUUUUCAAAUUAUUUUUUUUGGGUUUAGGUUUUACCUAAUAUCUGAGGCUUCACAUCAGUACUUUAUAAAAGCUAAAACUAAGUUGAUUAGCUUAUGCUUAUGUUAGUGAAGCCUAAAUAAACUGUUCCCCUCGCUAUCCAGAGCGGCGUUCUGUGUUGCAUUUGGACGUCGGGGAACUACAUUCUAAUAGUCCAAUGUUAUCUUACUUUUGAAUCUGUUUGCAGUCAAUUGAUGCCACUAUCCUCUAAUGAAAUAAUAAUAACAUGUUGGUUGGAAUCAUUUUUCGGUUAAAAGAAAAUUGAAGAUUGUUCGAAGGAUUGUUUUCAUCUUUAUGGAUGUCCUCCAAAAAUCGCUAAAGAGAAAGGAUUAAUCAAUUUGCUUGCUUGAAAUCAAACAUAAUAGUGUGAUUGUUUUCUGCAAGGUUACAACCAUUCUUGUGAUAUGUUUCAGAAUCUCAAGAUUGGUUAAAUUGCUGCAAAAUGGAUGUUUAGAAUUUCUAUUCCAUGUGUUUAGAUUCCUCUACCCGAGUGCUAUUCAGUUUAAGGUAUUGUUUUUGUGGAAUGGAGAUGAAUGAGGUCUUCGAUUUGUAGUUUCUCUGGUGUUUUUUACGGAGUGCAAGAAUUGCAUGUAGUUUUUUAAGAAUCAAGAGCUCUUAAAAUUUGGAGAAAGCUUUGAAUGAUCUCAUCGGUUGCUUCCAUCUCAAUUAUCAGCAAAGCAUCAAUCAGUGAGAUAUUUAAAGACUGAUGCGGUACUUAGGAAUUACUUAACUUGAGGACGGGUAUGGAAUCUGUUAUCUGGUCUCUAAUUCUGAAUGCUGCCACAGUAGAUUCAAGAUGCCAUUUUUCUGACCAGCUUGCUUCCCAAGAAGGGUAGAAGGCAUGGUGUGUGGACGAGCUCGCUGCAUUUUUCUGACCAGCUUGCUUCCCAAUAAGUGUUAUUGUGAUUUUCGCUUCCUUUGGUAGAACUGGUGAAGAAGCCACCUCCGCUUUUUAUAAGGAUUUUGAGUUUCCGAAAGUGUUAGUAAUCAUGAAAAGCCGAAUCAUUAUUUAUAA
This is a long non-coding RNA of Populus nigra (black poplar), 1474 nucleotides long. RefSeq lists it as uncharacterized. The transcript is spliced from 2 exons. The record is from RefSeq and is a predicted model, not a curated record. Lineage: Eukaryota; Viridiplantae; Streptophyta; Magnoliopsida; Malpighiales; Salicaceae.